RNAcentral lists this long non-coding RNA (1127 nucleotides) under Phasianus colchicus (ring-necked pheasant). RNAcentral's name for it is "lncRNA (ENSPCLG00000010916.1)". The record is from RNAcentral. Lineage: Eukaryota; Metazoa; Chordata; Aves; Galliformes; Phasianidae.
AUGUCAGAAAAGAAGAGUUGCAAGCAAACUAGCAGCGCUGCACAAGGCAGAAUGUUACAUUUGGCUGCUAGUAGAGGACAUGCAAAGCUAGAUGGCCCAAUGCAAAAGGAAUCAUUCUUCUCCCCUUUCUUAUCCCUCAAGAUAAUUAAGCUAAUGGUAUUAGACAGGGAAGGAGUCCCAGGCACAGAAAUAUCAGAUGCAUCCUUUUUUUGUGGUAAGCAUGUACUUCUUUUGCUUCAAGUUGAAGACACACAAAUAACCACUUUACCACAAAAGCUUUAGCUUACUAGCUGUUCUUUUUAGUGCAGAUAUUGUCAGGCAUCCCAGUUACCACACAAGUCUUUUCACCAAGAGUAGAAACUGUCUUCACUAAAAGCUGUGGCAAGGUGAUGGAUCCAUUCUAUAGAAGAACUAUCAUCACCCACCUUGCACCCCACAGAGGGGGAUUCUGUUACUAAUAUUUUGGGAACAUGCCUUGAAAGGAAAACGCAGUGGCAUCUAGAAAUUCCCCUAUACAGUUUUGCUUCAGCAUGAUAAAUAGAGCAGAAGACACCUCUCAAACAGAUCUAGUUCUUCCACUAUUUCAAAGUUACAAAUGGUUAAGUUUCAAGGUGCUUGCCCACCAACUCAGCACAUUUUGAAAUGCAUGCUCUUUAAUGUUAGGCAUUACCCACACAAUAUAAUUUUACUUUUACAGAUACAAAACUGUGCAGGCCUUGUUAGAGACCUCAAGGCAAGAUUGAGUAAGUAUUUCCUGUUUAAUUUUCCCAUUUAUCUGGUUUUCUUCCAAGAGCAGCCUGCCAGUCCCAGAAAGAAGAGCAGCAGCUUCCCUCCUUCUUGAGGGUCUUGGUCUACUUAGGCUGCUGAUAUUGUAUACAUCCUGCAUAUGCCAUAACUGGUUUACUCCCACACACCACAGUUGAACAUUACCUCCAGCCACCUUCCCAAACCCCCAGGGCACAGUCAAUUACUAAACAGAAGAAACCUCAAGUCACAAGAGUUGCUUCCAAGAGGGCUAACCCAAGUUUUGAAAGAAGUUAAAAACUCUCCUCCUCCUAGCCCAGGAACACUCUCACAAAGCAGCCAUCACCAUAUAGGAGCCACUGCAUGACCCGGCCCAAGGGGGG